Molecule: ribosomal RNA, 468 nt
Filed under: uncultured bacterium
Lineage: Bacteria
Description: partial 16S ribosomal RNA
Rfam family: Bacterial small subunit ribosomal RNA
Source: RNAcentral
GACGAACGCUGGCGGCGUGCUUAACACAUGCAAGUCGAACGGAAACGCCCUGCUUUUGUGGGGUGCUCGAGUGGCAAACGGGUGAGUAACACGUGAGUAACCUGCCCUUGAUUUUGGGAUAACUUCAGGAAACUGGGGCUAAUACAGGAUCGGAGCUCAUGUUCCAUGGUUGGGGUGGGAACGUCUCGGCGGUUGGGGAUGGACUCGCGGCUUAUCAGCUUGUUGGUGGGGUAGUGGCUUACCCAGGCUUUGACGGGUAGCCGGCCUGAGAGGGUGACCGGCCACAAUGGGACUGAGAUACGGCCCAGACUCCUACGGGAGGCAGCAGUGGGGAAUAUUGCACAAUGGGCGGAAGCCUGAUGCAGCAACGCCGCGUGCGGGAUGACGGCCUUCGGGUUGUAAACCGCUUUCGCCUGUGACGAAGCGUGAGUGACGGUAAUGGGUAAAGAAGCACCGGCUAACUACGUG